GUGGGGAAUAUUGCACAAUGGGGGAAACCCUGAUGCAGCGACGCCGCGUGAACGAUGAAGCCCUUCGGGGUGUAAAGUUCUUUCGACAGGAACGAUAAUGACGGUACCUGGAGAAGAAGCUGCGGCUAACUACGUGCCAGCAGCCGCGGUAAUACGUAGGCAGCGAGCGUUGUUCGGAGUUACUGGGCGUAAAGAGUGCGUAGGCGGCGAGCCAAGUUUGGUGUGAAAUCUCCCGGCUUAACCGGGAGGGUGCGCCGAAAACUGGUUGGCUGGAGUAUGGGAGAGGAAAGCGGAAUCCCUGGUGUAGCGGUGAAAUGCGUAGAUAUCAGGAGGAACACCUGCGGUGUAGACAGCUUUCUGGACCAAAACUGACGCUGAGGCACGAAAGCGUGGGUAGCAAACA
RNAcentral lists this ribosomal RNA (403 nucleotides) under uncultured bacterium. RNAcentral's name for it is "bacterial SSU rRNA". It matches the Rfam family "Bacterial small subunit ribosomal RNA", at positions 354 to 774 of the family's 1533-position model. The record is from RNAcentral.